RNAcentral lists this ribosomal RNA (283 nucleotides) under uncultured bacterium. Its description in RNAcentral is "partial 16S ribosomal RNA". It matches the Rfam family "Bacterial small subunit ribosomal RNA", at positions 28 to 314 of the family's 1533-position model. The record is from RNAcentral.
GACGAACGCUGGCGGCGUGCUUAACACAUGCAAGUCGAGCGGUAAGGCCCUUUCGGGGGUACACGAGCGGCGAACGGGUGAGUAACACGUGGGUGACCUGCCCUUAGCUCUGGAUAAGCCUGGGAAACUGGGUCUAAUACCGGAUAUGACUCCAUGACGCAUGUUGUGGGGUGGAAAGCCUUGUGCGGCUAGGGAUGGGCCCGCGGCCUAUCAGCUUGUUGGUGGGGUGAUGGCCACCAAGGCGACGACGGGUAGCCGGCCUGAGAGGGCGACCGGCCACAUU